AUUGAACGCUGGCGGCAUGCUUUACACAUGCAAGUCGAACGGUAACAGGCCUUCGGUUGCUGACGAGUGGCGAACGGGUGAGUAAUGCAUCGGAACGUGCCCAGCGGUGGGGGAUAACGCAGCGACAGCUGUGCUAAUACCGCAUGUGAUCUGAGGAUGAAAGCGGGGGACCAGGCAGCAAUGUUUGGCCUCGCGCCUUUGGAGCGGCCGAUGUCCGUUUAGGUAGUUGGUGGGGUAAAGGCCUACCAAGCCGACGAUCUGUAGCUGGUCUGAGAGGACGACAAGCCACAUGGGGACUGAGACACGGACCAGGCUCCUACGGGAGGCAGCAGAGGGGAAUGUUGGACAGUGGGCGCAAGCCUGAUCCAGCAAUGCCGCGUGCGAGAAGAAGGCCUUCGGGUUGUAAACAGCUUUUGUGCGGAGCGAAAAGGCUCUGGCUAAUACCUGGGGCUGAUGACGGUAACGUAAGAAUAAGCACCGGCUAACUACGUG
RNAcentral lists this ribosomal RNA (492 nucleotides) under uncultured bacterium. Its description in RNAcentral is "partial 16S ribosomal RNA". It matches the Rfam family "Bacterial small subunit ribosomal RNA", at positions 29 to 507 of the family's 1533-position model. The record is from RNAcentral.